This 1446-nucleotide ribosomal RNA is filed under the name Triticum aestivum (bread wheat). Its description in RNAcentral is "partial small subunit ribosomal RNA". Lineage: Eukaryota; Viridiplantae; Streptophyta; Magnoliopsida; Poales; Poaceae. The record is from RNAcentral.
AUGCAACUUAUGGUGUCUUUAUACUCUUUAAGAUCAUGCGACGACGAUAUCAACAGGCCUCUAAUAUCAGACAAGUUGGAUGACUACUCGGGCCCAAGCAAUAACCUUGGUAGCAAUAAUGCUGGUGAGUCUACAAUGUGGACAAAUAGGAGUACCACUUCACCAAGGACGCAUACUCAUCCCACUGAAUCUCAUCCUAUUGAAGGAGAAGUUCAUGUGAUUGAUGUUACAAAUGGUACACCGGAAGAGCUCCAUCUAGGAAGUACGCUGAAGCGUACAGCGGAAGCAAGUGUGCGAGCAUCUGAGGCGAAGCACACAAGAAGGGCUUCUGGAGAGAAUAAUAAUGGCGGCAUUCCUGUGAAGGAUAUUACAGUUGGAAGCCACCUAGCCUUGGAGGUCAUAGCUGGCCCAUCUCAUGGAAUAAACCGCUACCUGCAGUCAGGUAAUACGUCCAUGCUCCCAAUGACUCUUGGAAGGAUUCCUCAAAGCGAUUUGGUGUUAAAGGAUUCUGAGGUGUCAGGAAAGCAUGCACGGAUUGACUGGAAUCCAAAUACACUCAGAUGGGAACUUGUGGAUAUGGGCAGUUUGAAUGGAACCUUCUUGAAUUCCCAGGCAGUUACCCAUCCUGAUGUUGGUUCUAGGCGUUGGAGUGCGCCUGCCGAACUUGCUGAUGGUGAUAUUAUAACACUUGGGAGUUCAUCAAAAGUAUCUUUUGGGCUGUUUGCCAUUUUUGAUGGCCAUGGAGGGGAUGGGGCUGCAAAAGCUGCCAGCAGGAUUCUUCCAGAGAAUGUUGCGAAAAUUCUUUCUCAGAAGGAAACAAUAGAAAGAGUUCUCACAUGCGGCAAUGCUUCUGAUGUUCUUAAGUGUGCAUUUGACUUGACAGAAGCUGCACUCAAUCAUCAGUAUGAGGGUUGUACAGCAACUGUCCUUCUUAUUUGGUUUGAUCAGAACAAAGAUUGCUUUGCCCAGUGCGCUAAUCUCGGUGACUCGGCAUGUAUUAUGAAUGUCGACGGGAAACCAAUUGCGAUGACAGAGGAUCAUCGAGUAGUCAGUACCACAGAACGAGCGAGGAUAGCGAAAUUAGGGAAUCCCCUGAAAGAUGGCGAAAGCCGUAUAUGUGGACUGAAUCUUUGCAGGAUGCUUGGAGACAAGUUUCUCAAAGAGCAAGAUCCAAGGUUCAGUAAGGAACCAUAUGUGAGCCCAGUAGUUCAGAUCUCGAAAUCAUGCUCAGCUUUUGCGCUUAUCGCUAGCGAUGGCUUAUGGGAUGUCAUUACCGCGAAAAAGGCAGCACAGCUUGUCCUCGAUUAUAAGGAGAGGAACAUGGGCCAAGAAAUCUCAGCGGACGGAGUAGCAGACCAUGUGCUUAGUGAAGCCAGGAAUCUGCGGACGAAGGACAACACAUCGGUGAUAUUUUUAGACUUCGACGCCAUGAGAAUGGGUCGCUGA